RNAcentral lists this ribosomal RNA (253 nucleotides) under uncultured bacterium. RNAcentral describes it as "partial 16S ribosomal RNA". It matches the Rfam family "Bacterial small subunit ribosomal RNA", at positions 524 to 776 of the family's 1533-position model. The record is from RNAcentral.
UACGUAGGGUGCAAGCGUUAAUCGGAAUUACUGGGCGUAAAGCGUGCGCAGGCGGUUAUGCAAGACAGAUGUGAAAUCCCCGGGCUCAACCUGGGAACUGCAUUCGUGACUGCAUGGCUAGAGUACGGUAGAGGGGGAUGGAAUUCCGCGUGUAGCAGUGAAAUGCGUAGAUAUGCGGAGGAACACCGAUGGCGAAGGCAAUCCCCUGGACCUGUACUGACGCUCAUGCACGAAAGCGUGGGGAGCAAACAGG